GCCCCUGUGGCGCAAUCGGUUAGCGCACGGUACUUAUAAUGCCGAGGUUGUGAGUUCGAGCCUCACCAGGGGCA
RNAcentral lists this transfer RNA (74 nucleotides) under Portunus trituberculatus (swimming crab). Its description in RNAcentral is "tRNA-Ile". It matches the Rfam family "tRNA". Rfam says of the family: Transfer RNA (tRNA) molecules are approximately 80 nucleotides in length. Their secondary structure includes four short double-helical elements and three loops (D, anti-codon, and T loops). Further hydrogen bonds mediate the characteristic L-shaped molecular structure. tRNAs have two regions of fundamental functional importance: the anti-codon, which is responsible for specific mRNA codon recognition, and the 3' end, to which the tRNAs corresponding amino acid is attached (by aminoacyl-tRNA synthetases). tRNAs cope with the degeneracy of the genetic code in two manners: having more than one tRNA (with a specific anti-codon) for a particular amino acid; and 'wobble' base-pairing, i.e. permitting non-standard base-pairing at the 3rd anti-codon position. Lineage: Eukaryota; Metazoa; Arthropoda; Malacostraca; Decapoda; Portunidae. The record is from RNAcentral.